CACCUUUCAAAUUGUUACACACAUAAACUUUCUUAUAUUGUAUCAUUCAAUUUGUGAAUCCAAAAAAUAAUAAAAAAUAAAAACGAUCGCUUGAAAUGCU
This is a long non-coding RNA of Melitaea cinxia (Glanville fritillary), 100 nucleotides long. RefSeq lists it as uncharacterized. The record is from RefSeq and is a predicted model, not a curated record. Lineage: Eukaryota; Metazoa; Arthropoda; Insecta; Lepidoptera; Nymphalidae. The transcript is spliced from 3 exons.